GAUGAACGCUGGCGGCGUGCCUAAUACAUGCAAGUCGAGCGAACAGACGAGGAGCUUGCUCCUCUGACGUUAGCGGCGGACGGGUGAGUAACACGUGGAUAACCUACCUAUAAGACUGGGAUAACUUCGGGAAACCGGAGCUAAUACCGGAUAAUAUAUUGAACCGCAUGGUUCAAUAGUGAAAGACGGUUUUGCUGUCUCUUAUAGAUGGAUCCGCGCCGCAUUAGCUAGUUGGUAAGGUAACGGCUUACCAAGGCAACGAUGCGUAGCCGACCUGAGAGGGUGAUCGGCCACACUGGAACUGAGACACGGUCCAGGAUCCUACGGGAGGCAGCAGUAGGGAAUCUUCCGCAAUGGGCGAAAGCUUGACGGAGCAACGCCGCGUGAGUGAUGAAGGUCUUCGGAUCGUAAAAUUCUGUUAUUAGGGAAGAACAAAUGUGUAAGUAACUAUGCACGGCUUGACGGUACCUAAUCAGAAAGCCACGGCUAACUACGUG
RNAcentral lists this ribosomal RNA (497 nucleotides) under uncultured bacterium. RNAcentral's name for it is "partial 16S ribosomal RNA". It matches the Rfam family "Bacterial small subunit ribosomal RNA", at positions 28 to 507 of the family's 1533-position model. The record is from RNAcentral.